CGAUACCGCCGUACGCGGUCCGAAACGCGGGAUGACAACGAUGUCCGUGACCGGUACGUCAUUUGAAAAAAGUCCCGCCGUCGGUUUUGUUUUACGCGCGAUGACGGCGAAUGACCGCCGCCCCCGCACUGUGCGCGUACGUCGGCGCGUGUGACUAUUCGACGGACGCGAUGAACAGGCCGCCGUUGUCACAACGUCACGUCGCGCGGUGUACGCGCACGCGUGUUAAAUUUAUCGCGCCUUUUCGCGGUGUUCAUACAUAAAAUCGCCGUUUCAAUAACCG
Non-coding RNA from Cinara cedri, 283 nucleotides. NCBI's taxonomy places the organism in Eukaryota, Metazoa, Arthropoda, Insecta, Hemiptera, Aphididae. The record is from the annotation of a GenBank genome assembly.